AUGCAGAGGUGAUUUUUGGUAUUGCUAUAGAUAGAUAUAUUGGGGACGAUAGUAUUUUUAAC
RNAcentral lists this small RNA (62 nucleotides) under uncultured Micromonas. Its description in RNAcentral is "Mitochondrion-encoded tmRNA". Lineage: Eukaryota; Viridiplantae; Chlorophyta; Mamiellophyceae; Mamiellales. The record is from RNAcentral.